AACGAACGCUGGCGGCGUGGAUAAGACAUGCAAGUCGAACGGCCCCGACAUUUAGUCAAUAAAAUAGUCGGGGUAGUGGCGAAAGGGUGCGUAACACGUGGCUACCUACCUCGAAGUUGGGGAGUAGCUCGGCGAAAGCCGGAUUAAUACCGAAUGUGAUCGUGAGACCAAAGCUGGGGAUCGUAAGACCUGGCGCUUUGAGAUGGGGCUGCGGCCUAUCAGGUAGUUGGCGGGGUAAGUGGCCCACCAAGCCUAAGACGGGUAGCUGGUCUGAGAGGACGACCAGCCACACUGGAACUGAGACACGGUCCAGACACCGUACGGGUGGCAGCAGUCGAGGAUUUUUCUCAAGUGGGGAAACCCUGAAGGAGCGACGCCGCGUGAGGGAUGAGGU
RNAcentral lists this ribosomal RNA (394 nucleotides) under uncultured bacterium. RNAcentral describes it as "partial 16S ribosomal RNA". It matches the Rfam family "Bacterial small subunit ribosomal RNA", at positions 29 to 414 of the family's 1533-position model. The record is from RNAcentral.